RNAcentral lists this ribosomal RNA (999 nucleotides) under Sabuloglossum monticola. RNAcentral's name for it is "partial large subunit ribosomal RNA". It matches the Rfam family "Eukaryotic large subunit ribosomal RNA", at positions 78 to 1443 of the family's 3401-position model. The record is from RNAcentral. Lineage: Eukaryota; Fungi; Ascomycota; Geoglossomycetes; Geoglossales; Geoglossaceae.
CCUCAGUAACGGCGAGUGAAGCGGCAACAGCUCAAAUUUGAAAUCUGGUUCCCUUGGGGGCCCGAGUUGUAAUUUGUAGAGGAUGCCUUCGGGUUUGGCCCCGGCCUAAGUUCCUUGGAACAGGACGUCACAGAGGGUGAGAAUCCCGUAUGUGGCUGGAGGUCUAUGCCCAUGUGAAGCUCCUUCGACGAGUCGAGUUGUUUGGGAAUGCAGCUCAAAAUGGGUGGUAAAUUUCAUCUAAAGCUAAAUACCGGCGGGAGACCGAUAGCGCACAAGUAGAGUGAUCGAAAGAUGAAAAGCACUUUGGAAAGAGAGUUAAAAAGUACGUGAAAUUGUUGAAAGGGAAGCGCUUGCGACCAGACUUGCCCUCGGUUGAUCAACCGGUGAUUCCACCGGUGCACUCGGCUGAGGUCAGGCCAGCAUCGGUUUAGGCGGUCGGAGAAAGGUCGCGGGAAUGUGGCUCCCUCCGGGGAGUGUUAUAGCCCGUGAUGUCAUGCGACCAGCCUGGACCGAGGACCGCGCCUUUGUGCUAGGAUGCUGGCGUAAUGGUCGUAAGCGACCCGUCUUGAAACACGGACCAAGGAGUCUAACAUCUAUGCGAGUGUUUGGGUGUCAAACCCAUGCGCGUAAUGAAAGUGAACGGAGGUGGGAACCCUUAAGGGUGCACCAUCGACCGAUCCUGAUGUCUUCGGAUGGAUUUGAGUAAGAGCAUAGCUGUUGGGACCCGAAAGAUGGUGAACUAUGCCUGAAUAGGGUGAAGCCAGAGGAAACUCUGGUGGAGGCUCGCAGCGGUUCUGACGUGCAAAUCGAUCGUCAAAUUUGGGUAUAGGGGCGAAAGACUAAUCGAACCAUUUGCUAGGUGGUUAAGAGGCGGAUUAAAAGUCCGUCUAGUCCUGGUUCACGGGGCGACACUGUCAAAUUGCGGGGACACCCUUAGAGCUCAAACAACCGCAGCCCAGCUGAAAGGCAGGUGCGCACCAGGGUAAUGACCUCGGGGAU